This 25-nucleotide ribosomal RNA is filed under the name Trichoderma amazonicum. RNAcentral describes it as "partial 18S small subunit ribosomal RNA". The record is from RNAcentral. Lineage: Eukaryota; Fungi; Ascomycota; Sordariomycetes; Hypocreales; Hypocreaceae.
UUNGUGAACCAGCGGAGGGAUCAUU